AUUGAACGCUAGCGGGAGGCUUUACACAUGCAAGUCGAACGAGUGGCGGACGGGUGAGUAAUAUAUCGGAACGUGCCCGGUAGCGGGGGAUAACUACUCGAAACAGUAGCUAAUACCGCAUACUAUCGGAUCUGCCCAUAUCGGAUUAGCUAGUAGGUGGGGUAAAGGCUCACCAAGGCAACGAUCCGUAGCUGGUCUGAGAGGACGACCAGCAACACUGGGACUGAGACACGGCCCAGACUCCUACGGGAGGCAGCAGUGGGGAAUUUUGGACAAUGGGGGAAACCCUGAUCCAGCCAUCCCGCGUGUAUGAGAAGGCCUUCGGGUUGUAAAGUACUUUUGGCAGGGAAGCGGUAUCUGCAGAAUAAGCACCGGCUAACUACGUGCCAGCAGCCGCGGUAAUAC
This 405-nucleotide ribosomal RNA is filed under the name uncultured bacterium. Its description in RNAcentral is "partial 16S ribosomal RNA". It matches the Rfam family "Bacterial small subunit ribosomal RNA", at positions 30 to 526 of the family's 1533-position model. The record is from RNAcentral.